RNAcentral lists this ribosomal RNA (253 nucleotides) under uncultured bacterium. Its description in RNAcentral is "partial 16S ribosomal RNA". It matches the Rfam family "Bacterial small subunit ribosomal RNA", at positions 524 to 776 of the family's 1533-position model. The record is from RNAcentral.
UACGGGGGGAGCAAGCGUUGUUCGGAUUUACUGGGCGUAAAGGGCGCGUAGGCGGCGUAACAAGUCACUUGUGAAAUCUCCGGGCUUAACCCGGAGCGGCCAAGUGAUACUGUUGUGCUAGAGUGCGGAAGGGGCUACUGGAAUUCUCGGUGUAGCGGUGAAAUGCGUAGAUAUCGAGAGGAACACCUGCGGCGAAGGCGGGUAGCUGGGCCGAAACUGACGCUGAGGCGCGAAAGCCAGGGGAGCGAAAGGG